CCUACGGGUGGCAGCAGUGGGGAAUAUUGGACAAUGGGGGCAACCCUGAUCCAGCCAUGCCGCGUGUGUGAAGAAGGCCCUCGGGUUGUAAAGCACUUUCAGUGAGGAAGAACGCCUGGUGGUUAAUAUCCAUCAGGAAAGACAUCACUCACAGAAGAAGCACCGGCUAACUCCGUGCCAGCAGCCGCGGUAAUACGGAGGGUGCGAGCGUUAAUCGGAAUUACUGGGCGUAAAGCGCGCGUAGGUGGCUUGAUAAGCCGGUUGUGAAAGCCCCGGGCUCAACCUGGGAACGGCAUCCGGAACUGUCAAGCUAGAGUGCAGGAGAGGAAGGUAGAAUUCCCGGUGUAGCGGUGAAAUGCGUAGAGAUCGGGAGGAAUACCAGUGGCGAAGGCGGCCUUCUGGACUGACACUGACACUGAGGUGCGAAAGCGUGGGUAGCAAACAGGAUUAGAUACCCUAGUAGUC
RNAcentral lists this ribosomal RNA (465 nucleotides) under Vreelandella stevensii. Its description in RNAcentral is "partial 16S ribosomal RNA". It matches the Rfam family "Bacterial small subunit ribosomal RNA", at positions 338 to 795 of the family's 1533-position model. The record is from RNAcentral. Lineage: Bacteria; Pseudomonadati; Pseudomonadota; Gammaproteobacteria; Oceanospirillales; Halomonadaceae.